AAAUGCAAAGUGCUUAACUGCAUUUUUUCUUACACAUGUGUUUUUCUUUUUUUGAAAACUUUGCUUUGGUAGGCCUUCUAUAUGGGGCCUGCCAGAGAUUAAACUCAACCAAAUUUUAUUUAAUGUCAACCGAUUAUUUAAUAGUCAAAACUUUCAACAACGGAUCUCUUGGUUCUCGCAUCGAUGAAGAACGCAGCGAAAUGCGAUAAGUAAUAUGAAUUGCAGAUAUUCGUGAAUCAUCGAAUCUUUGAACGCACAUUGCGCCCUUUGGUAUUCCAAAGGGCAUGCCUGUUUGAGCGUCAUUUCUCCCUCAAACCCUCGGGUUUGGUGUUGAGCGAUACGCUGGGUUUGCUUGAAAGAAAGGCGGAGUAUAAACUAAUGGAUAGGUUUUUUCCACUCAUUGGUACAAACUCCAAAACUUCUUCCAAAUUCGACCUCAAAUCAGGUAGGACUACCCGCUGAACUUAAGCAUAUCAAUAAGCGGAGGAA
Molecule: ribosomal RNA, 489 nt
Filed under: Lodderomyces parapsilosis
Lineage: Eukaryota; Fungi; Ascomycota; Pichiomycetes; Serinales; Debaryomycetaceae
Description: eukaryotic LSU rRNA
Rfam family: 5.8S ribosomal RNA (bases 149-302)
Source: RNAcentral